AAGAAUUGAACAAAGAAAGAAGAAAAGCUACUAUUGUGGCCCUAGAUGCCAGAAAGAGGCCGAUAUGCAAGUCAUUUCAAUCCCAAUCAAAGAGGUCCAAAGAGACAAACCCUCGAAUGACAGGUUCAGCUGGGGAUUCACACAGAGAUCGUGGUAAGGCAUAUUCGGGGUCUAAAGCUCAAGAUACUUUAGUGGCAAGUGUGGGUAAUGUGCGGUCUAGAAA
This 223-nucleotide long non-coding RNA is filed under the name Gossypium barbadense (sea-island cotton). Its description in RNAcentral is "long non-coding RNA (GBAR_LNC003047)". Lineage: Eukaryota; Viridiplantae; Streptophyta; Magnoliopsida; Malvales; Malvaceae. The record is from RNAcentral.